Molecule: ribosomal RNA, 309 nt
Filed under: Triticum aestivum (bread wheat)
Lineage: Eukaryota; Viridiplantae; Streptophyta; Magnoliopsida; Poales; Poaceae
Description: partial small subunit ribosomal RNA
Source: RNAcentral
AUGGUACUAUUGACUUAUUAUCAUUUUUUUUCGUUGAAUGGUUAUUGCCAUUGUUGUUGUUCCUGUUGGGUCCUUGCGGCUGGGGUUAAUGAUGUGCUCAAUUUUUUUUACAGACCCAAUUUGACAUAUUGGUUUAUACUCCCCCAUCCCAUAAUACAAGAUAUUUUUACAAGCUAUAUUAACUUGCAAAAUUAUGGGACGGAAGAAGUACUAAAUAAAUCAGAUCUUGUCGAAGUCGUAUCUAACUUGCAUGGUGUCUCCACCAUUGACUAUAGAAAAAAUUGGGCAAGACCAAAUCCACUCGCAUAA